AACGAACGCUGGCGGCAUGCCUAACACAUGCAAGUCGAACGAGACCUUCGGGUCUAGUGGCGCACGGGUGCGUAACGCGUGGUAACCUGCCCUUAGGUUCGGAAUAACUCCCCGAAAGGGGUUCUAAUACCGCUUAAUAUCUUCGCACCAAAGAUUUAUCGACCUUGGAUGGGCCCGCGUUGGAUUAGCUAGUUGGUAGGGUAAAACCCUACCAAGGCGACGAUCCAUAGCUGGUCUGCGAGGAUGAUCAGCCACACUGGGACUGAGACACGGCCCAGCCUCCUACGGGAGGCAGCAGUGGGGAAUAUUGGACAAUGGGCGCAAGGGUGAUCCAGCAAUGCCGGGUGAGUGAUGAAGGCCUUAGGGUUGUAAAGCUCUUUUACCCGGGAUGAUAAUGACCGUACCGGGAGAAUAAGCUCCGGCUAACUCCGUG
This 433-nucleotide ribosomal RNA is filed under the name uncultured bacterium. RNAcentral's name for it is "partial 16S ribosomal RNA". It matches the Rfam family "Bacterial small subunit ribosomal RNA", at positions 29 to 507 of the family's 1533-position model. The record is from RNAcentral.